Molecule: long non-coding RNA, 214 nt
Organism: Syngnathoides biaculeatus (alligator pipefish)
Lineage: Eukaryota; Metazoa; Chordata; Actinopteri; Syngnathiformes; Syngnathidae
Exons: 3
Source: RefSeq, a predicted model, not a curated record
GAAGAAGACCUUCCAGACUUCAGAUUUAGCAGACAGAAAAUGGAGUCCUCUUAAAAUUCAGCAGACAAAAUCCAUCGAUCUACACUGGAAGUCGGGAAAGGGAAGCGGAAGCGACUCUUCACUCUCCAGAACUGGCACAACAAGCGUCUCCCACCAGCGGUACACCAGGACUGGAUAUCAUCCCUACCAAAACUUUCACGGACUACCGUAUUAA